Molecule: ribosomal RNA, 482 nt
Filed under: uncultured bacterium
Lineage: Bacteria
Description: partial 16S ribosomal RNA
Rfam family: Bacterial small subunit ribosomal RNA
Source: RNAcentral
AUUGAACGCUGGCGGCAUGCUUUACACAUGCAAGUCGAACGGUAACAGCACUUCGGUGGCUGACGAGUGGCGAACGGGUGCGUAAUACAUCGGAACGUGCCUAGUAGUGGGGGAUAACUACUCGAAAGAGUAGCUAAUACCGCAUGAGAUCUAAGGAUUAAAGCAGGGGACCUUCGGGCCUUGCGCUACUAGAGCGGCUGAUGGCAGAUUAGGUAGUUGGUGGGAUAAAAGCUUACCAAGCCGACGAUCUGUAGCUGGUCUGAGAGGACGACCAGCCACACUGGGACUGAGACACGGCCCAGACUCCUACGGGAGGCAGCAGUGGGGAAUUUUGGACAAUGGGCGCAAGCCUGAUCCAGCAAUGCCGCGUGCAGGAUGAAGGCCUUCGGGUUGUAAACUGCUUUUGUACGGAACGAAAAGCCCUCUUCUAAUACAGGAGGGUCAUGACGGUACCGUAAGAAUAAGCACCGGCUAACUACGUG